RNAcentral lists this ribosomal RNA (450 nucleotides) under uncultured bacterium. RNAcentral describes it as "partial 16S ribosomal RNA". It matches the Rfam family "Bacterial small subunit ribosomal RNA", at positions 338 to 795 of the family's 1533-position model. The record is from RNAcentral.
CCUACGGGCGGCAGCAGUGGGGAAUUUUGGACAAUGGGCGCAAGCCUGAUCCAGCCAUUCCGCGUGAGUGAAGAAGGCCUUCGGGUUGUAAAGCUCUUUCGCAAGGGAAGAAAACUUACCUUCUAAUAAAGGGUGAGGCUGACGGUACCUUGAUAAGAAGCACCGGCUAACUACGUGCCAGCAGCCGCGGUAAUACGUAGGGUGCGAGCGUUGAUCGGAAUUACUGGGCGUAAUGCGUGCGCACGGAUGUGAAAUCCCCGAGCUCAACUUGGGAACUGCGUUUGAAACUGCCAGACUAGAAUAUGUCAGAGGGGGGUAGAAUUCCACGUGUAGCAGUGAAAUGCGUAGAGAUGUGGAGGAAUACCAAUGGCGAAGGCAGCCCCCUGGGAUAAUAUUGACGCUCAUGCACGAAAGCGUGGGGAGCAAACAGGAUUAGAUACCCGGGUAGUC